AGCGAACGCUGGCGGCAGGCUUAACACAUGCAAGUCGAACGGGCUUCUUCGGAAGUCAGUGGCAGACGGGUGAGUAACACGUGGGAACGUGCCCUUCGGUUCGGAAUAACUCAGGGAAACUUGAGCUAAUACCGGAUACGCCCUUUUGGGGAAAGGUUUACUGCCGAAGGAUCGGCCCGCGUCUGAUUAGCUUGUUGGUGGGGUAACGGCCUACCAAGGCGACGAUCAGUAGCUGGUCUGAGAGGAUGAUCAGCCACACUGGGACUGAGACACGGCCCAGACUCCUACGGGAGGCAGCAGUGGGGAAUAUUGGACAAUGGGCGCAAGCCUGAUCCAGCCAUGCCGCGUGAGUGAUGAAGGCCUUAGGGUUGUAAAGCUCUUUUGUCCGGGACGAUAAUGACGGUACCGGAAGAAUAAGCCCCUGCUAACUUCGUG
RNAcentral lists this ribosomal RNA (435 nucleotides) under uncultured bacterium. RNAcentral's name for it is "partial 16S ribosomal RNA". It matches the Rfam family "Bacterial small subunit ribosomal RNA", at positions 29 to 507 of the family's 1533-position model. The record is from RNAcentral.